This 620-nucleotide ribosomal RNA is filed under the name Salmonella bongori serovar 48:i:- str. 94-0708. RNAcentral's name for it is "partial 23S ribosomal RNA". It matches the Rfam family "Bacterial large subunit ribosomal RNA", at positions 568 to 1189 of the family's 2925-position model. Lineage: Bacteria; Pseudomonadati; Pseudomonadota; Gammaproteobacteria; Enterobacterales; Enterobacteriaceae. The record is from RNAcentral.
GAAGCAGAGGGGGCUUAGUGGUGGGGUGACUGCGUACCUUUUGUAUAAUGGGUCAGCGACUUAUAUUCUGUAGCAAGGUUAACCGAAUAGGGGAGCCGGAGGGAAACCGAGUCUUAAUUGGGCGUUAAGUUGCAGGGUAUAGACCCGAAACCCGGUGAUCUAGCCAUGGGCAGGUUGAAGGUUGGGUAACACUAACUGGAGGACCGAACCGACUAAUGUUGAAAAAUUAGCGGAUGACCUGUGGCUGGGGGUGAAAGGCCAAUCAAACCGGGAGAUAGCUGGUUCUCCCCGAAAGCUAUUUAGGUAGCGCCUCGUGAAUUCAUCUCCGGGGGUAGAGCACUGUUUCGGCUAGGGGGCCAUCCCGGCUUACCAACCCGAUGCAAACUGCGAAUACCGGAGAAUGUUAUCACGGGAGACACACGGCGGGUGCUAACGUCCGUCGUGAAGAGGGAAACAACCCAGACCGCCAGCUAAGGUCCCAAAGUCAUGGUUAAGUGGGAAACGAUGUGGGAAGGCCCAGACAGCCAGGAUGUUGGCUUAGAAGCAGCCAUCAUUUAAAGAAAGCGUAAUAGCUCACUGGUCGAGUCGGCCUGCGCGGAAGAUGUAACGGGGCUAAACCA